RNAcentral lists this unclassified non-coding RNA (309 nucleotides) under air metagenome. RNAcentral describes it as "partial contains small subunit ribosomal RNA, internal transcribed spacer 1, and 5.8S ribosomal RNA". The stretch from base 1 to 46 matches the Rfam family "Eukaryotic small subunit ribosomal RNA", at positions 1786 to 1831 of the family's 1831-position model. The record is from RNAcentral.
AAGUCGUAACAAGGUUUCCGUAGGUGAACCUGCGGAAGGAUCAUUAUUGAAUAAACUUGGUUGGGUUGUUGCUGGCUUUCAGGAGCAUGUGCACGCUCAUUCCAUCUUUUUUAACCACCUGUGCACCCACUGUAGGCUUGAAAUGAACCUUUCGAGGAAACUCGGUUUGAGAACUGUUAGAAGCUGUUCUUACAUUUCAGGUCUAUGUUUUUAAACAUAUACUCCAUAAACAAGUCAAGGAAUGUUAAUUAUUGGCCUCAUGUGCCUUUAAACCUAAUACAACUUUCAACAACGGAUCUCUUGGCUCUC